RNAcentral lists this transfer RNA (84 nucleotides) under Acidimicrobiales bacterium. RNAcentral describes it as "tRNA-Leu". It matches the Rfam family "tRNA". Rfam says of the family: Transfer RNA (tRNA) molecules are approximately 80 nucleotides in length. Their secondary structure includes four short double-helical elements and three loops (D, anti-codon, and T loops). Further hydrogen bonds mediate the characteristic L-shaped molecular structure. tRNAs have two regions of fundamental functional importance: the anti-codon, which is responsible for specific mRNA codon recognition, and the 3' end, to which the tRNAs corresponding amino acid is attached (by aminoacyl-tRNA synthetases). tRNAs cope with the degeneracy of the genetic code in two manners: having more than one tRNA (with a specific anti-codon) for a particular amino acid; and 'wobble' base-pairing, i.e. permitting non-standard base-pairing at the 3rd anti-codon position. Lineage: Bacteria; Bacillati; Actinomycetota; Acidimicrobiia; Acidimicrobiales. The record is from RNAcentral.
GUCGGAGUGGCGGAAUAGGUAGACGCGCCAGCUUGAGGGGCUGGUGAGGGCAACCUCGUGGGGGUUCAAGUCCCCCCUCCGACA